AACGAACGCUGGCGGCGUGGAUAAGACAUGCAAGUCGAACGGGGUUGUUUGUGUAGCAAUACAUCGACAACCUAGUGGCGAACGGGUGCGUAACACGUGAGCAAUCUGCCGGGAAGUGGGGGAUAGCUCGCCGAAAGGCGAAUUAAUACCGCAUGUGGCCAGAGGGGACAUCCCUUCGACGCCAAAGUCGCAAGACGCUUCCUGAUGAGCUCGCGGCCUAUCAGCUUGUUGGUGAGGUAACGGCUCACCAAGGCUAUGACGGGUAGCUGGUCUGAGAGGACGACCAGCCACACUGGAACGGGGACACGGUCCAGACACCUACGGGUGGCAGCAGUCGAGAAUUUUUCACAAUGGGGGCAACCCUGAUGGAGCGACGCCGCGUGGAGGAUGAAGGUCUUCGGAUUGUAAACUCCUGUCAUGCGAGAACAAGAAAGUGAUAGUAUCGCAAGAGGAAGAGAUGGCUAACUCUGUGCCAGCCGCCGCGGUAA
RNAcentral lists this ribosomal RNA (488 nucleotides) under uncultured bacterium. Its description in RNAcentral is "partial 16S ribosomal RNA". It matches the Rfam family "Bacterial small subunit ribosomal RNA", at positions 29 to 523 of the family's 1533-position model. The record is from RNAcentral.